This 230-nucleotide ribosomal RNA is filed under the name uncultured bacterium. RNAcentral describes it as "partial 16S ribosomal RNA". It matches the Rfam family "Bacterial small subunit ribosomal RNA", at positions 118 to 347 of the family's 1533-position model. The record is from RNAcentral.
UGGGCAACCUGCCCUCAGCUCUGGGAUAACUCCAAGAAAUUGGUGCUAAUACCGGAUGUGACCGCUGACCGCAUGGUCUGGUGGUGGAAAGAUUCAUCGGCUGAGGAUGGGCCCGCGGCCUAUCAGCUUGUUGGUGGGGUAAUGGCCCACCAAGGCGACGACGGGUAGCCGGCCUGAGAGGGUGACCGGCCACACGUGGGACUGAGACACGGCCCAGACUCCUACGGGAG